UGGGGAAUUUUGCGCAAUGGGCGAGAGCCUGACGCAGCAACGCCGCGUGGGUGAUGAAGGUCUUCGGAUCGUAAAACCCUGUCGUCAGGGACGAAGGUCACGAGUUUAAGAGAUGCGUGACUUGACGGUACCUGGAGAGGAAGCCCCGGCUAACUACGUGCCAGCAGCCGCGGUAAGACAUAGGUGGCAAGCGUUACUCGGAAUUACUAGGCGUAAAGCGCGUGCAGGCGGAUGCUUAAGUCUGUAGUUUAAUCUCCCGGCUCAACCGGGAAAGGUCUGCGGAUACUGAGCAUCUGGAGUGGGACAGAGGAAGCUGGAAUUCCCGGUGUAGCGGUGAAAUGCGUAGAUAUCGGGAAGAACACCGGCGGCGAAGGCGGGCUUCUGGGUCCUUACUGACGCUGAGACGCGAAAGCUAGGGGAGCAAACA
RNAcentral lists this ribosomal RNA (427 nucleotides) under uncultured prokaryote. RNAcentral's name for it is "bacterial SSU rRNA". It matches the Rfam family "Bacterial small subunit ribosomal RNA", at positions 355 to 774 of the family's 1533-position model. The record is from RNAcentral.